CAAUAAAUGGCGUUCCCUUCUGCAAAGGGACAAAUACUCAGUCCUACUAGGAGACUUGUGCAUUCAGAAGGCAGCUAUCCUCCACAGGCCCUUGGGUUCCUGGAGGCAAUGACCUGACUGAAAUUGCCUCUGCCUUCCUCCAUCCAGCGCAUGCAAGCAGAUGGAAACAGCAGCUGCCAAGCACACCACACCUCCCAGCCUGCAAUAACAAUCACACAUCACCUCACCUCUGGCCCACAGUCAACAUCAGGACCAACACAGUCCCUGAGAAUUGAAGACUUGAUUAUGACCAUGCAUCAUGAGGUGCAGCUAUGUUCUGCUUAGACGAUUCUUCCCACAGAGCAAGGAAGAAAGAAAAACAACAAGAGGAAGGGUAAGGGUGCCCUUAUGGUGCAGAAUUAUCUGAUCCAUACUCCAUCUUCUGAGCUUCCUUUUCCUUUAUGAGCUUUACACUCAUAACUGGGGCAAUUUUGACAUGCAUGCCUCUUGCAAUCAAUCAGCCAACCACUCAGCCGAGGAGCAUCCACCAUGUUAAUAAUCCCCAGUGAUUACCAGGGGGCCAGUCACAGAGCGAACCAUGAGGUUGACUCAGUUUGAUUUACUUCAUUACCUUCUUCAGCCCAGAUGUUCGGAGAUGCACAAGUUUUUGUGCCAAAGAAUAGCCCGUUUGCAACAAGCAGCCGUUAGGUGCUAAUAUCCCUUUGCCCCAGGUUUGGCAAUGUGAGCCAUGCUUACACAGG
RNAcentral lists this long non-coding RNA (740 nucleotides) under Numida meleagris (helmeted guineafowl). RNAcentral's name for it is "lncRNA (ENSNMEG00000022517.1)". The record is from RNAcentral. Lineage: Eukaryota; Metazoa; Chordata; Aves; Galliformes; Numididae.